UUGAACACAACUCCAAAACAAAAUGGCUGACACUGUUACAGCUGCUCUGGAUCCAGUAGAAACAACAAAACAGAAACUACAAGCCUGUUAAACUCCAAGCCCCCUCUGGCUCGUGUGGAUGUAGCAGACCUUGAAACCUGCAAGACGAAAGGAAGUACACAAGGUAGCUGGGAGGAGAGGCCAUGGAGGAGCUCUGACCUGUGAAAAAUGGGAAACUGAUCUUCACUGAGUCUCACCUGCCCAAAAGCUGGAGAACAAAAAGGCCAGCAGCUGUUUUGGCAUCUCUUUAUUUCUCUCUCUCAGUGGGGAAAAUUGCUUCACUCACAAGUUUUAGCCAAGAGUCACAGCAUCGUAACCAGGGAGUGAAGGAGACCGUGCACAGCCUCGAACAAAGGGCUCCCAUUCUGGAGGAAAAACAACCCCCCCAUGCUUGAGAGGCAGGUGCUGCAGCUCGGGAAGAAGGAAGGUGACAAAGCAGAUUCAGCAGCGGAAGGUCUUGCUCACACGUGCUCUGACCUUUACUCCAGCUAUGGGAACAGUACCCAGUACCUCGCGAGCAGUCCGCAUGGUGAUUGUCAACAAAAGCCAAUCAACAGAUGGGGUGCAUCGGGAGGAGAGGAGAUGGAAUCAGUACUCUGUUGGCACUUGGGGUGCUCAGCCACAGUGGUCAACUUAAAUUCUAUUCAGAGUAAAUUGUCAGGACCUUGUUAGCAGUCCAGCAAAUCAUUCCUUAUAUCUUUGCCCAUGGGAAUGGUAAUAAAGUCCAGUUUUGUUGUCACAGUACUAGUCACACCUGAUGUUUUGUAUUUAUAGAGAAUAAUGUUAUUGCAUCACAUCUUGUAGUGAGGAUAUACAUCCUUGCAUUGUGUAUUGUGCUACAAAGUGAAAAGGUUUCACCUUUGUUUUAAAUCACCCUGUAUUUGUAGGAAUUUAUAGCCAACAAAAGCAUUAAAGACCAAUGAGAGAUUUUUUUUUUUUUGUAAAGCAUCUCAUGUGAAUUCAGUGUAGUAAUGUUGUCUAAAGGAAUGACCUUGAAUGUCUGGUUUGUAUGCAUGAUAUGUGUAUGUUUAAAAAAAACAGGGCUGCAGAGGCUUCAUGUAAUAAAUCUGCACUAUAGAAAGAAAAAUGUUUUUGCGGCUGCUGUAUAAAAUAUACUUGUGUAGCAUUUGGA
RNAcentral lists this long non-coding RNA (1171 nucleotides) under Lepisosteus oculatus (spotted gar). RNAcentral's name for it is "lncRNA (ENSLOCG00000022722.1)". Lineage: Eukaryota; Metazoa; Chordata; Actinopteri; Semionotiformes; Lepisosteidae. The record is from RNAcentral.